Long non-coding RNA from Oreochromis niloticus (Nile tilapia), 347 nucleotides. RefSeq lists it as uncharacterized. The record is from RefSeq and is a predicted model, not a curated record. Lineage: Eukaryota; Metazoa; Chordata; Actinopteri; Cichliformes; Cichlidae. The transcript has 3 exons.
UUUCAUACUGUUUAAUCUCAUUUAGUGUUUUCUUUUUUUCUGUAGGGCAUUUAUGGUUGACAAAGACUUUGCGGAAAUAAAUGCUUUGCAGAAGGUUUUUCCAGAGUCAGCUAUCCUUCUAUGCUGGUACCAUGUCUUGCAGGCUGUUAAUCGAUGGCUUUCAAAAUCUGAGUCUGGGGUCCAUGGGCUUUCUAACACCCAAAAGAGAAAUGAAAUCAUUUCUUUCUUUUGUAAGCUGAAAGCUUGCACAUCUGAGGAAGACUUUAAAGCCACAUCAGCAGAGUUUUGCCAGACAUUUAAGCAAUACCCUUUGGUGUGCCAGUAUUUUCAGAAGCACUGGGAAGGCA